CGGCAUUAGAUCCCAAGCACUCGGGUUAUUAGCGCAACACCUCAGGCCACUAUGCCACCACGGCGGGUGCGGCGGAUAAAGGAGUGAACAUCGUUUUUACAGAGUGCGUAUCGCUUAGAUGUUACCCGUUAGCACGCACAGAACGAAACGAAAAGCUUGGCUGAUAUGUAUGUCAUCGUGCUCAUAUUUCACAUGGAGGCCACAUUCUUUUCUGUGACGUAGACGGGGUGCUGGCGAAUGUGUUGGGAAUCUGCUCGGCCACCAAGCAGAAUCUGCGCUGCUAUACGUUCUCGGUGACAAAUCGCACAGCGCAGAAGCACACACACAAAUGUUUAAAAGAAUGGGACGACAGACCGCCUGCAGUUUGCUGUGACGUCGAAAUAAGAAGCACAAACAGCGACGUUUCUGUACUUUUCUGGUCAAUAGUUCAGUUCGCAUGGUUGCGGCACGCAUUACUUUUUUUUAAAAUCCAAACGACGAAAACUGUGCGCGCACAAAUUAGCACGGCGUUUGCGACGUUUGAAUUUGGCGCCUUUUCCCGCGCACUCCAUUAGCUCCGGCCGGUGCACCGCGUUACUGCGCCAAAGAAAGUAGUUCAUCAAAGAAGUGAAGCAAAAAACUUUCAUACACAUGCAAAGCGCAACAAUUGUUCUGUAAUAACAUGACAUCACAGAAUUUGUUAUCAAAUAGUACAAUUUAUGAUAAUAUAAGCGUGUAUUUGUAUGAGUGUACAUGUAUGAUUGCGCGUUUGCGGUGUUGAUGCUUGGAGCAUUCCGGCGAGUUCGUGUACGCUGUUCGCUUGAAAGCUUCCUGCUUUUCUGCGUUCUUUGUGUGCUUCGCUGUGACAUCUUUGGAAUAUUCCUGCGUGUUGCUCGCUUUUUAUGGGCUUGUUGCCUCGAAGAUCGCCAUGAUCGCCUCCGACUCAGCGUCAUCAAAGAUUCAAAGUGAGCUGGGAGACGCCCCAGCUGGCACGCUAAAGGUUCACAUAGGUUGAAGGAGUGCACAUUGAGAAGGUUAUCCUGGCACAGCUUACCAUGGGCUGCCAUGGUGGACCAGGAAAGUUUGCAAGGGCCUUGCUUCACCAUGUGUUCACAGAGGAGGAGCUCAUGGGUCAUUUGGCCUUUGGAAAUAACACCAAGGGGCAAAAAGGGCUCUUGACCCCACCAGGGUCAGUGCUGUUAUAGGCUUCACGUGUCACAAGUUUCCUGGUACCAACAUGCCCUAUGUAAAGAACUCUGGCCUCGCUUCUCGCAUGGGACCAAUAGCCUCUCAAGAGCCCAAGUUGGACAGCUCAAACCAAAACACAAGUGUUGUGCUUUUGUAACUCUCGACAUUUUUAUGUUUUAUGUUAGUCUCCUGAAGGGCUCAAUUUGGAUUUCUCAAAUGAGCAUACAAAUGUUGUGCCUUUCUAUGCCUUGACAUUUUUAUGUUAAUUUUAUUUAUGCUAAUUAUGCAAGUCUCCUGAGAAGCCCACAUUGGAUUGCUUAAUCCAGAAUACAAGUGCUGUGCUUUGUUAUAGUUCACUACAUUUUUAUGUUAGUUUUUGAUAUGGUUCCAGUAAGGAUAGUGUUUCCUUAAUAAUAUAUUUUUUAAGUAUCUUAAGUCAUUUCAUGCCAAACCACCCAGUUUUGUCAAGAACUGUUCCACUAUGGCAAAGCAUUUCAAGUUUGCUUGAUUUUGAGUAGGUACAAUAAGAAAAUUUUUGAGAAAAUUUGCUUUCAUACAUACACUUGAGUCAUUCCAGGGCAACCAACCAGCGUUUUUUUGACCAUCACAGAUAUAGUUGAAACUCCGAACUCUUGCUCCCCAUUUAUUUUCCUUCACAAAAAUUUUUUUGAAUUUUGGCAAAAAUUUAUUGUUCUUGCCCAGCUAAGCUAGAAGGCACUGAUACACGUUUCUUUUGAAAGGGAAAUUGUAUGAUCCAGAUAUUCAGAUGAUGUUCAUGUCAAGAGACAAGUGGUGUGACUGCCAAAAUUUGCAAAGUUUGAAUUUUCUUCUAAUGUAGGGAAAUACAGAAGGCACAAAAUAAAUAUAAAAUCAGACUGGUUGACUUGGGAUAGCUGCAAAAUAUUUCAAGCCUUGUAGGUUCAGUUGAUCAGCUAAAAAAACUGAAAGUUCCAAUUUUUUGCAAGAAGCUUCGUGUUGAAGGUAAAAAAUUAGCUUUGGAGGUUGGCACAAAAGUAUGUCGCCCAUCGUUACACAGCCCUACAUGUCUGCUAUGCAUGUGACAAGUAACAAAAAGGUAUUCUUUAAGUGCAAUAAAUUAUUUUCUCUAAUGUUCAUUUGUGGAUCACACAUACAGCAUAAAUAUAGCAUAAAUAUAUGAAGCCAUGUCAGCUAGCAAGGAAAGAUUGUUAAUAUAAUUAGCCACAAAAACUACUCAACAAACUGACUGCCUUUUUUAUCAUUGCGAAGGCAGGUGACGUCAAGCGCUACAGCUGCAGUCUCAACUUGUAUUUUUUUAACAUGAAUGCAAAAAGUGGUCGCCAGUGGUGUCUGACCACAUCAGACUGAACAAGGCAAAUAUGACUUUUAUAGGUGAACACGUUCUGGCUCUGAAACAGUGGUAGCAAACAACACCACAAGAAUUUGUUCACACUUAUGUAGGUUUUCAGUCUUAAUUAUGAAGGUGUUUUCUAUUUGCAUCAUCAUUGGGCUCCAGGGAGCAGGGCACGAAGUGUCCUGCUCCCUCUGUGUUGCAUUGCAGUGCGACAUGCCCUUUAAAAUGCUUUGUAUGAACAAUAUCAGCGCUCUUCCUGGAUUUACUGUCUACAUAAUAGCCGAUAUUUCUUUUUGUAAACUGCAUGAAAGAUAUCUUUUAACACUGCAGGAUUCCCUCACAUAUUAAUACGUACGAGGUCUGUUAGAAAAGUAUUUGACUUUUUUUUGCAGACACCUGAUGAAUAUGAAACAAGCGCGUUUUCAUCAGCCACCCUUGAACCUUCUCGCGCAUGCACGAAUUUUUUCCCGCCUGCCAAUAGCGUGAAUUGCUGGGACGCAGCAUUUGAAUGAGGUAGUACACAGUGCUCUCGUCGUUUUUUUAUUGCAAGGAAAAUGGCGGAGCGACUGGAGCAGUGCUACUGCGUCAAAUUUUGCCAGAAACUGGGCGACAGCCACGUGGAAACCAUUCGGAAGAUUCAGACUGCUUUGGGUGACUGCGCUAUGAGCAGCACACAGAUUAAGGGGGGAUGAGGGUCUUGAAAACUUUUUUUUUAUUUCUUAACAUAUCUUCCUGAAAAUUGGCAUGCAGAUAUAUCUUUGAAUGCUGAUCCCAAAUAUAUAUUCAGAUUUUAUAUAUCUCAUCUAGAAAUAAAGAUAUUGCAAAAUAAUUGAUCCCACAUAGGUCUUUUCUUACGGGCCAUUAUGAUAAUUUCUUAAUUAAAAAAACUAGUUUCAAAGAAUAGCUUUCAUUUCCAAGGCCCCACUGCACAUCCUAAAGCUAAAGAAAUUUUUAAAAAGUGAUCAUAGAGGUCGUGAAUGAAUAACAAAGUAGGAAGAAAAAAACAAUGCAGGAGUAAUUAGCUUACAUCUGACCUAAUUGCUAGCCUAUUGGGUUUAAUGAAAAAUGGAAAGCUUUAGGAUGUAGCUGAGGUUUUACUGAAAAAAAUGAUACCUAAUUCAAUAAAAUCAAUUGAUGCAAACACUAUGAAAAGUUCUGUAAGGCAAAGGCAUUUGAUCGAAAAAGCAAAGCUGAGAAAAUUGCAUUCAAAGUUUUGCUUACUCUGCCACUUUUGUUUACCUAUCACAUGGAAAAAUUUAAUGCUUUAGCAUGCAGCCCAGUCAUUACUGAACACAAUAACACCAAACUCACAGAAAUCUGUUCAUUUAAAGAUUGUGAAAACCUCUGUAUUGCAUUGGCACUUGACAAAAGAAAAAAAAGUUCAGAAAGUCGUCUUCACUAGCUGCGCCGACGUUCAUUAGCUCGAACUUGCGGGAAGUCGCGGACUUCUUCGCCAAUGAAGUUUUAAUGUUGUCUGCGUACUUUUCACGCCCCGCGCACUCCGCGCAAAACACCGUGUCGAAGCGUUGAGCACGCGAGCUCGGUUCAGCCGCGUCCGUCGGCACCGAAGCGGCGUGCGGAAACGCCGAAGUCGACGUUAGGCUUAGCUCAGCCGGCUCGGCCGCUUUCGACGACACGGAAUCCGAAGCGACUUGCAGCGUCUCAAAAGUUAGCAUUUUCGACGGGCUUAGUCCAGGCGCAUCCACCGGCACUGCAGAGACUUGCGGUAACACCGAAGUCGACACCGAUCGGCACUGUCCAGCCGCGUCCACCGGCGAAGCUGUUGUUGGCGAGCUCAGUCCAGCCGCAUCCACCAAGGGCACAGCAGCUUGCGGCAUCACCGAAGCUGUAGUUCUCGACGAUGUAGCGCUCUUAUUCCAUGCGCGCCUCUUUUUGCUGACUGCUUUUCGCGUGCUUGCUUUCAAGCGCGCGUCUCGCGCCAUCGUGACACGCGGAACAACGACACCAGGCACGCAAAAGCAAGAAAUUCUUGGUUAAAAGAAGCGACUCAAUAGCCAAAAUAUCUACAAGAACGAUAAAGAAAAGGGCAGAACGAAAAAUACUAGGAAACAAAGAUGAAUGCGAAAAAUGACGUGCGCGCCGGCGAAAGCAGACGACACGAAGGAGUCGAACAACGCGGCCGCGGGGCCGCGGCAGGCGUCACGGCCAAUCAGAGGGCUGCGCCUCGGGGAGGCGCCCGUUUCACCCAAUCAGCGGCUGUCUCGCGACGAUUUCGCGCUUGAGAACGGGUGCCUGGGUUGCCGAUCGCUCCGCUGCACGAGGGUCUACAGCGUGCCGAGGGGCGCCAGAACGGAGAGCGGGAAACCAGCUUUCAAACGAGACCAAGAUGGCGCCGAUCGGUUCGCGUCACGCGGAGCUACGGCAGCUUGAAAAUGAGGCAAACCUUCGCGCUUGGCGUUCAAUUUCGGCUCACCGACGUUUCUAAAUUACCGUUUUUUUAAUACUUCGAGUAGGAAUUGAGCCAUAAUAAUUUGUAGAGGCAUAGCUGGGACAUUAAAGACUUCAAAAACGCAAUUUUUGAAAAUUGCCAUUUUUGACCAUUUUUCGAGAUUUCAAGACCCGCGUCCCCCCUUAAGGAGUGGUACAACCAGUUUAAAGACGACCACGCAUCGGUGGAGAGCGAGCCACGCUCCAGUCGGCCAUCAAUAUGCCGAAAUGACCAGGUCAUUGCCUAAGUGAACCCUGUGGUGAUGCGGGACCGUCGUGUGACUAUCCAAGAAAUUGUGGAAGAGGUGGGCAUCAGCACAUUUUAUCCACAUUCCAUUAUCACCGAAGAUUUGGCCAUGAAAAGAUUUGCCCCGAAAUUCGUUCCCAAGCUGCUCAUGGUGGAGCAAAAGCAACUUCGUGUUGAAGUCUCACAGACAUGCUGGAUUCCACAAACAGUGACCUCAACUUCACGAACACCAUAAUCACUGGUGACAAGUCUUGGAUGUAUGUUUAUGACCGGGAAACCAAAUCCCAGUCAUUACAGUGGAAGCAUUCCACGUCACCAACCAAAGACCGCUAAGUGCGCAUCAACGUUAAAGUGUUGCUGACUGCUUUCUUUGACUCCCGCAGUGUGGUACACCACGGGUACGCACCAAAGGGUCAAACAAUCACUAAAGACUAACUACUACAGGGAUGUCCUCCAUGGCCUAUGUGAUGCUGUGUGGCGCAAGAUACCAAAGUUGUCAACAGGAAAUUGGCGCAUCCAUCACGACAAUGCUUUUCUCGCACUUGAUUCAGACCCUUUUGGCGAAAAACCAGACUCCUGUAGUUCGACAGGCUCCUUACUCUCCUUAUAUGGCCGCCUGCGGCUUCUGGCUAUUUCCCAAAAUCAAGAGGCCAUUGAAAGAAGCACAAUUGCAGACAAGAGAAGACAUUAUGGCUGCAACGACAGCUGAGCUAAACUCCAUUCGGAAAGAGGCCUUCUCGGAAUGCUUCUAACAAUGGCAGCACCGCUGGGAGAAGUGGCUGGAGUCCCAAGGAGACUACUUUGAGAGUGAUUAGGUUUCCAACGCUCCAGUUAUCCCAGUUUUUUUUUUCUUCAGCCAAAGGUCGGAUACUUUUCUAACAGACCUCGUAUUGAUAUUUUAUGUGUAAUGGCUGUAUGGUUUACCUGGCCCACACCAAACACAAGCCUCGUUGCGUUAGAGCAUGUGUCCCUUGGCAAUAAAAUGCAGACACUAACACCGCUUCUCUGUCAUCUGUGUGGAGACGAAGCCAGCUUUGUGGUCUGCAUUCCCAGCCGGCAAGCAGUGCGCACAUCCGAGAAAAGUCGGUGCUGACAAAAUUUCAAAAAAGAGUUUCUCGCAUUUAAAAAUAAUGCCUUUUUUAACUUCGCACAUGCAUAGCAGACAUGUAGAGCUAUCCAAUAAUGUAUCACAUACUUUUUGGCCAACCAUGAAAGCUGUUUUUUCCUUCAACAUGAAGCUUCUUGCAAAAGAUUAAAAUUUGUUUUUUUUUUACAGGCGAUUAGCUGAACCUUCAAAGCUUCACAUUUUUUUUGCUAUACUAUGUCACCUGGGCUACCAUUCUGUAUUUAAUUUCUGUCCUGUGAAUUUUCGUUACGAAAAAAAAAACUAACGGAUUGCAAUUUGACUCAUUUUUGCCGGUGCCGAAAGCAAUUGAAGUAUUCAAAUAUUUAAAAAAUUGGCUAUUUCGGCAGUUGCAUCACUUCACCGUAUUUCCACGCACACCAUUUGAAGGCCUCGAUCAAUACAAUGUGCAUUUGAAGAAGAAUGUUGAUUGAUGUCCUCUAGCUCAGCUGAGCAGGAAAACUAAACUGUCACCAAAGUGCUACAAAAUAUCUGGCAAAAAUAAAUAAAAGUGGGUAACGAGUUUUGAACUCUAGUAAACAUAUAGUAAUGUUUCAGCUAUAUGUGUGCUGUCAAAAAAACGCUGGUCGAUUCGGCAUGGAAUCGCACAC
Dermacentor albipictus is the source of this 6929-nucleotide long non-coding RNA. RefSeq lists it as uncharacterized. NCBI's taxonomy places the organism in Eukaryota, Metazoa, Arthropoda, Arachnida, Ixodida, Ixodidae. The record is from RefSeq and is a predicted model, not a curated record.